Molecule: ribosomal RNA, 253 nt
Filed under: uncultured bacterium
Lineage: Bacteria
Description: partial 16S ribosomal RNA
Rfam family: Bacterial small subunit ribosomal RNA
Source: RNAcentral
UACGGAGGUGGCAAGCGUUGCUCGGAAUCACUGGGCGUAAAGGGCGCGUAGGCGGGGAGGUAAGUCGGGUGUGAAAUCCCUCGGCCCAACCGAGGAACUGCGCCCGAGACUGCUUCUCUUGAGUCCCGGAGAGGAAGGUGGAAUUCCCGGUGUAGCGGUGAAAUGUGUAGAGAUCGGGAGGAACACCGGUAGCGAAGGCGGCCUUCUGGACGGUGACUGACGCUGAGGCGCGAAAGCGUGGGGAGCAAACGGG